RNAcentral lists this ribosomal RNA (416 nucleotides) under uncultured bacterium. Its description in RNAcentral is "bacterial SSU rRNA". It matches the Rfam family "Bacterial small subunit ribosomal RNA", at positions 355 to 774 of the family's 1533-position model. The record is from RNAcentral.
UCGAGAAUCUUCGGCAAUGGGCGCAAGCCUGACCGAGCGACGCCGCGUGGAGGAUGAAGGCCCUCGGGUUGUAAACUCCUGUCGAGGGGGAAAAAGGUCUCGCAAGAGGCUUGAUUGAUCCCUGGAGGAAGCACGGGCUAAGUUCGUGCCAGCAGCCGCGGUAAGACGAACCGUGCGAACGUUAUUCGGAAUCAUUGGGCUUAAAGCGCGUGUAGGCGGAUAAGCACGUCCGACGCUGAAAUCCCCCGGCGCAACCGGGGAACGGGCGCGGAUACGGCUUGUCUGGAGGGGCGUAGGGGGACCUGGAGCUUCCGGUGGAGGGGUGAAAUGCGUUGAGAUCGGAAGGAACGCCCGUGGCGAAAGCGAGGUCCUGGACGCCUACUGACGCUGAGACGCGAAAGCCAGGGGAGCGAACG